RNAcentral lists this ribosomal RNA (274 nucleotides) under uncultured bacterium. RNAcentral's name for it is "partial 16S ribosomal RNA". It matches the Rfam family "Bacterial small subunit ribosomal RNA", at positions 523 to 796 of the family's 1533-position model. The record is from RNAcentral.
AUACGGAGGGUGCAAGCGUUAUUCGGAAUCACUGGGCGUAAAGGACGCGUAGGCGGGUUGGCAAGUCAGAUGUGAAAUCCUACAGCUUAACUGUAGAACUGCAUUUGAAACUGCUAACCUAGAGUAUGGGAGGGGGAGAUGGAAUUAGUGGUGUAGGGGUAAAAUCCGUAGAUAUCACUAGGAAUACCGAAAGCGAAGGCGAUCUCCUGGAACAUAACUGACGCUAAGGCGUGAAAGCGUAGGGAGCAAACAGGAUUAGAAACCCUAGUAGUCC